CCUACGGGUGGCAGCAGUGAGGAAUAUUGGUCAAUGGACGAGAGUCUGAACCAGCCAAGUAGCGUGAAGGAUGACUGCCCUAUGGGUUGUAAACUUCUUUUAUAUGGGAAUAAAAUGUUCCACGUGUGGGAUUUUGUAUGUACCAUAUGAAUAAGGAUCGGCUAACUCCGUGCCAGCAGCCGCGGUAAUACGGAGGAUCCGGGCGUUAUCCGGAUUUAUUGGGUUUAAAGGGAGCGUAGGUGGAUUGUUAAGUCAGUUGUGAAAGUUUGCGGCUCAACCGUAAAAUUGCAGUUGAAACUGGCAGUCUUGAGUACAGUAGAGGUGGGCGGAAUUCGUGGUGUAGCGGUGAAAGGCUUAGAUAUCACGAAGAACUCCGAUUGCGAAGGCAGCUCACUGGACUGCAACUGACACUGAGGCUCGAAAGUGUGGGUAUCAAACAGGAUUAGAUACCCUAGUAGUC
Molecule: ribosomal RNA, 460 nt
Filed under: uncultured bacterium
Lineage: Bacteria
Description: partial 16S ribosomal RNA
Rfam family: Bacterial small subunit ribosomal RNA
Source: RNAcentral